GUCUACGGCCACACCACCCUGAACAUGCCUGAUCUCGUCUGAUCUCGGAAGCUAAGCAGGGUCGGGCCUGGUUAGUACUUGGAUGGGAGAAUGUCUCUCAUAAGUCUCCUUAUGAGAAACAAAACCAGCACAAAAU
This 136-nucleotide ribosomal RNA is filed under the name Castor canadensis (American beaver). Lineage: Eukaryota; Metazoa; Chordata; Mammalia; Rodentia; Castoridae. The record is from RNAcentral.